UAGCAGCGGCUGUAGUUGGGGGUGGAAAAGGGAGGCGACUGAGAGAAGGAGAAAGAGAAAGAGGGAGAGUAUCAUAAUGAAAUAUUAGAUUUAGGGUUUCUAUUUAUCCUCUAAAUCAAUGGAUAGAAUCUACUACUUGUAAAUUAACGGUAGAAACUAAGUUUAAAAAUUAAUCGGUUUUCUAAUGGUUUUUGGUUCGGUUUUAGAGGUCAAACCAAAACCAACACUAUCUGUUUUCCACUUUCUACACCGUAACCAAUCCAUUAGUAAAUGGUUCGGUUUGGUUUCUUCCUAAUUGGUCUGGUUUGGUCCGGUUCUAGCGAAAAACCGAAACCAUGUUCAGUCCUAGGUACCAGUGAUUGGGUAAGUGAUAUGCUUAUUCAAGUCCCUAUUUUUUUUUAGGUAAUAGAUGAAGUGACUUGUGUGUCUGAAUAUGUAAUUUCUUCCACCGCCAAAAUCUUGCAUGAUUUAUGUCCAUUUUUUGUUUUAGAAUGAAGCUGUUCUGUUCGCUUUUAUAGUUAUUGAUUCUUAGAUGGGUAUUUACAAAAAUGGUCACACUUUGCUAUUCCGGUUAACAAAAUGAUCCCACUAUUACAAAGUAUUAGCAAAGUGGUGACUCAGCCGUUUACUGCAAAGUUAUGUCACGUGUCAGGCGUUUGUCGGGAUGUUAACUUACCUAAAUGCCCCUAAACCGUGUCAUUUGCACGUGUGGGAUCGAGUAGGGUUGAUUAACAAAUCUCUAAACAAUCUGGUACGUUGGAUCAAAACAAAUCAAAACCCUAGCUCAAAUACGAUUUUGUGACCAUUUCCCACCUCAUAACUUUGCCGCCUCUGUUCCCUCGCUUCUUCUCUGAAGAAAUGGAGAAGAAGAUGGCGAUUCCAUGAAGCAGUUACAGAUCGUACUGUUUCUUCACAUAUUUCUUCAAUAUCUUUUACUCUUCAUCUCGAUCGUUAUAAAGCGAAAUACGAGUUUAGAGAUUUGUGAACCAGUUAUCGAACUGUGAAGAUAAUCAGUGUUAAUUUUCGACAUCAAGAUGUUUACAAACAUCACCAGGUAAAUACCCUUCCAUGUUAUACUGCUUUCGUAGAUUAUCAACUCGAUUCAGAAACCUUAAUUUUCUGAAUUUUAAUUUUUUACUAAUAAACCCUAAAUUUCUGAAAUUGGGGAUUUGGGAUUUUCUUAUAGAAUUUGUGUUAGGGUUUGAUUAAUAUGUUAGGGUAGAACGGUUUUGGACAAAUAAGGUUCAAUAUUUUGAUAAUGUGGAUGUUAAUUCUGGUGGGUUGAAAGCAUUUUGUGAUAAAGUUCAUGCUUCUUUUAAGUUAGCCCCUAUCAAGAAGGUUGAGAUGAUGUGGAUUGGUAAUGAUAAACCAUAAUAUAUGGUUAAUGAUUCACAUUGGUAUGAGAUGUGGGAUAAGGCUGUUGCUGAGGAAUGGUAUGUAAAUUUAUGGUGCAAUGUUAGUGAUAGGAUUGUGCCUCCUGGUGAUGGAUGUGCUGAAAUUUCUGGUAUAUCAAACAAGAGAGACUCAACACCAUCCAAGGUUCUAAGCAGUUCAAGAACAUGCAUUAACUAUGCUUCUUCACCAGUCAGACUUGAUCCAGAGAUGUUUGCCACACCUAAGAAGAAGUUAACAUGCAUUACAUCACCACAUCAGGUCAGAAGGAGUCCAAGGAUAAUUAAGAGAUCUGUUGAUGCAGUUACUGGAGGUUCUUGAAGUAGCAAGAGGUUAUUUGAGAAUGUGGAUGAGUAUGUGAAUGUUGAUAAUGAUGAUGAUUAUGAGAAUUUUGUCUUAAGUGCUGAGACACUCCAAGCUGAAAGGGAGUACGAGAACAUUCAACUACCUAAUGAUGCUGAAGAUGUUUGUCAUCCCAAUGAUGAUCUUAGUAGCCCAGUUUCUGAUACUGAUGAAAUGGGCCUUGGUGUAUAUUGUGACUUUGUCAACAAUUACUUUAAGGACCACAACUGGGUUGACUAUGUACAUCCAAAGCAGUAUAUGGAAGCAGUCAAUGAAGAACAAGCAAGUGUUGUGGAGCAGGAGGAUCCUAAAGGAAAAGCAAUUGUUCCUUAUGAUGUUGAGGGUAAUGAGGAGUACGAUAGUGGUGAGGACAGUUAAAGAGAUGCAAGAUGUCUGGUCACAACAGGAGGACAUGUGCUGGUGCACCAGUUGGAUCCAAUCCAAAAACAAAAAGACAAAGAACUAUGGUGUAAGGAGGAACUCACAAGACUACUUACCCAUAUCCUGCAAAGCUUAGUACCAGUAGAAGGGCUAGUAAGGGGAGAAGAGGUGGGAGAGGUUCUGGUGCAUCAUCUUCUCAUCCUACCAUUGCAUCUUCUUCUCAGCCUUGCACUGGAUCAUUUUCUCAGCCUACAUCUGCUUCAUAUUCUCAGCCUACAUCUGCAUCAUAUGGAUCUAGAGGUGGCAGGGGUUCAAGAGGUGGGAGAGGUAGGUCUGGUGGUAGAUCUGUUCAACAGACAUUGAGCCAAACCAUCAGUGGUGCUGUUGGGUUGUCUCAGACUCUCUCUCAGACAUUCACAGUCCUUAAACCAAAGAAGGUGACCUUCUCUGCUACUCAAUGAAGACUAGUUGCUGGUAGUUAGAACGGAUGUGGUGUUGGGUUUAGUUCAGUUUCAGUCCCUUGUUGUUUAGGGCUUUUUUUUCUUGUUUGAAUGGAUGUUUAUGGUGCUUGUUACAAUGGAUUUCACUGCAUCUGUUUGCAGUUAACUUAACUUAAGAAGACUUAUAUUAAGUAAUUAUUAAUGGGUAAUAUAUGUAAUUAAUUUAAUUUCAUGUCUUUAUUGAUUGUUCAUUGUCACUGAUUAUUUUACAUAUUUAGAUUGCCUGUUUGCUUGCAUAGUUCUGCCAUUUUCAGGGUUGCAGUUUUGGUUUCAUGGAAAAGAGCAUCAGAAAGCCAUUGAAACUGCAAACAGUUGGUACAUUUGAGGAAAGUGGAGAUGGAAGCUGAAUUUGCAUUGCUUUCCAGGUGUUGUGGCAUCUGCAAACCACUCAAAGUAUGGGCAUAUGGAGCAGCUGAAGAACUUCUCACAUGGAUGAUCAUCUGUUUGGGCUUUCAAUAGCUUCCUCAAACCAUUGCAACGUACCAUUUUGCAUCUAGAAUAGAUCCAUGCACAGUCUAUUGCCUCAUGCAUACCUUUCUCACACAUUAAACAGUAGUUGUUGAUGCUGUUGAUCUUGUUGUUGCUACUUGAUAUCUCCCCUGAACUGCUGCUGCAAUAUUUUUCCAUUUUGCCACCACCCAUUCUAAACAUAUUAGUAUAUGAGGAUUGUGAAUGAUGAAUGAGUGUUAGCUGUGUCCGCAGGUGCGUGGUUUUAUAGUGAAGGGAAAGGCAUAUCAAGCCGUUGGGAACGGUCACAUUUUUAACCACAUAGAAAACGCCACGUGUAACAGUGCCAGGUGGAUUGCCACGUCUACAAGCUGUCAGGUGGUGUGUUAGUGCCACAGAUGCAUAGAUCUACGACAUAGACGUAUGUUAAUCAUGGUUCAACUACCACGGUUACAAGAGACCAAGGGGUAGAUUAGUCAGAUACUUUACCGUUUUUUUCAAUUUCUGUGUCUCGGAUGGAAAAAUACGGGUUUGUGAUCACUAAUUUAAAGUGUGAUCAUUUUGUAAACCAAUUAGGGAUAGUGUGACCAUUUUGUAAAACACCCUUUUCUUUUUGUUAUAUGCCUAUGCCUAUAAUAUAUAUAGGAAUUGUGGUA
This is a long non-coding RNA of Papaver somniferum (opium poppy), 3718 nucleotides long. RefSeq lists it as uncharacterized. The record is from RefSeq and is a predicted model, not a curated record. NCBI's taxonomy places the organism in Eukaryota, Viridiplantae, Streptophyta, Magnoliopsida, Ranunculales, Papaveraceae. The transcript is spliced from 2 exons.